CUGAGUUAGGGUCUUCUAGGCCCGAUCUCCAACCCUCUGCUAAUAUGACUAUGUUGCUUUGGCGAGCCCGUCUCUUCGAAGACCAUCGGGAAUCCCUGAUCAGUGCUCGCCAACAGCCUUCAUAAAUUCUUCAUAAAUUUGUCGUCUGAAUAAAAAGAUUGAAUUAUCUUUUA
Molecule: unclassified non-coding RNA, 173 nt
Filed under: uncultured Eurotiomycetes
Lineage: Eukaryota; Fungi; Ascomycota; Eurotiomycetes
Description: sequence contains ITS1
Source: RNAcentral